This 480-nucleotide ribosomal RNA is filed under the name uncultured bacterium. RNAcentral's name for it is "partial 16S ribosomal RNA". It matches the Rfam family "Bacterial small subunit ribosomal RNA", at positions 28 to 523 of the family's 1533-position model. The record is from RNAcentral.
GACGAACGCUGGCGGCGUGCCUAACACAUGCAAGUCGAGCGAAUGAAGUUCCUUCGGGAAUGGAUUUAGCGGCGGACGGGUGAGUAACACGUGGGCAACCUGCCUCAUAGAGGGGAAUAGCCUUCCGAAAGGGAGAUUAAUACCGCAUAAGAUUGUAGUACCGCAUGGUACAGCAAUUAAAGGAGCAAUCCGCUAUGAGGUGGGCCCGCGGCGCAUUAGCUAGUUGGUGAGGUAACGGCUCAACAAGGCGACGAUGCGUAGCCGACCUGAGAGGGUGAUCGGACACAUUGGGACUAAGACACGGCCCAGACUCCUACGGGAGGCAGCAGUGGGGAAUAUUGCACAAUGGGGGAAACCCUGAUGCAGCAACGCCGCGUGAGUGAUGACGGCCUUCGGGUUGUAAAGCUCUGUCUUCAGGGACGAUAAUGACGGUACCUGAGGAGGAAGCCACGGCUAACUACGUGCCAGCCGCCGCCGUAA